Molecule: non-coding RNA, 78 nt
Organism: Podarcis lilfordi (Lilford's wall lizard)
Lineage: Eukaryota; Metazoa; Chordata; Lepidosauria; Squamata; Lacertidae
Source: the annotation of a GenBank genome assembly
UGUGGCACAAUAGCUCUGUCGGUAGGGCAUGAGAAUCUUAAUCUAAGGGCCAUGGGUUCAAGCCCCACGUCGGAAAAA